RNAcentral lists this long non-coding RNA (249 nucleotides) under Astyanax mexicanus (Mexican tetra). RNAcentral describes it as "lncRNA (ENSAMXG00005008245.1)". The record is from RNAcentral. Lineage: Eukaryota; Metazoa; Chordata; Actinopteri; Characiformes; Acestrorhamphidae.
AAAAAGGAUGAACUUUUGGGGUUUCUGAUGCAGCCAGAGAGAGAGAUGAAGACACAAAACCUCCAAAACAAGUUGAGGGUUCGGCGACACACUGACCCAGACAGAGAGAGAGGAGGUCACCUUGGCCAAGCCCACCUACCAGGAUCAUUUUCAGCCAAGGGCAUCCCCAAUGCUCUCAUUCAGGUGUGUGUUUGAGUUGAAAAGUGUAGAGAUGUGCACCAGGCACAGUUAAAUCCCUGUUAGAAUAUA